This 74-nucleotide transfer RNA is filed under the name Candidatus Pacebacteria bacterium RIFOXYA1_FULL_38_18. RNAcentral describes it as "tRNA-Arg". It matches the Rfam family "tRNA". From Rfam's summary of the family: Transfer RNA (tRNA) molecules are approximately 80 nucleotides in length. Their secondary structure includes four short double-helical elements and three loops (D, anti-codon, and T loops). RNAcentral also lists the same sequence under 4 other names. The record is from RNAcentral. Lineage: Bacteria; Bacillati; Minisyncoccota.
GCGCCAAUAGCUCAGCUGGAUAGAGCAACUGCCUUCUAAGCAGUAGGUCACAGGUUCAAAUCCUGUUUGGCGCA